RNAcentral lists this ribosomal RNA (624 nucleotides) under uncultured bacterium. RNAcentral describes it as "bacterial SSU rRNA". It matches the Rfam family "Bacterial small subunit ribosomal RNA", at positions 72 to 677 of the family's 1533-position model. The record is from RNAcentral.
AGGAGACUUCGGUCUCUGAGUAGAGCGGCGCACGGGUGAGUAACGCGUGGAUGAUCUACCCUUGAGUUCGGGAUAACGGUGCGAAAGCGCCGCUAAUACCGUAUAACAAUCCAUUUCAUCGUGGGUUCAAAGCAGGCCUCUUCAUGAAAGCUUGCGCUUGGGGAUGAGUCCGCGUCCCAUUAGCUUGUUGGCGGGGUAACGGCCCACCAAGGCUACGAUGGGUAGCUGGUCUGAGAGGAUGAUCAGCCACACUGGAACUGAAACACGGUCCAGACUCCUACGGGAGGCAGCAGUGGGGAAUAUUGCGCAAUGGGGGAAACCCUGACGCAGCGACGUCGUGUGAGGGAGGAAGGCCUUCGGGUCGUAAACCUCUGUCAGAAGGGAAGAACAUCCGGGAGUCGAACAGCCUCCCGGCCUGACGGUACCUUCAGAGGAAGCGCCGGCUAACUCCGUGCCAGCAGCCGCGGUAAUACGGAGGGCGCAAGCGUUAAUCGGAAUCACUGGGCGUAAAGCGUGCGUAGGCUGCUUGAUAAGUCAGACGUGAAAUCCCUCGGCUCAACCGGGGAACUGCGCUUGAUACUGUCGAGCUAGAGUCCUGGAGAGGGUGGCGGAAUUCCUGGUGUA